RNAcentral lists this ribosomal RNA (253 nucleotides) under uncultured bacterium. RNAcentral describes it as "partial 16S ribosomal RNA". It matches the Rfam family "Bacterial small subunit ribosomal RNA", at positions 524 to 776 of the family's 1533-position model. The record is from RNAcentral.
CACGUAGGGCGCAAGCGUUGUCCGGAAUUACUGGGCGUAAAGCGUGCGCAGGCGGUUGUGUAAGACAGAUGUGAAAUCCCCGGGCUCAACCUGGGAACUGCAUUUGUGACUGCACGGCUCGAGUGCGGCAGAGGGGGAUGGAAUUCCGCGUGUAGCAGUGAAAUGCGUAGAUAUGCGGAGGAACACCGAUGGCGAAGGCAAUCCCCUGGGCCUGCACUGACGCUCAUGCACGAAAGCGUGGGGAGCAAACAGG